AUUGAACGCUGGCGGCAGGCUUAACACAUGCAAGUCGAGCGAGUGGCGGACGGGUUAGUAAUGUCUGAGAAACUGCCUGAUGGAGGGGGAUAACUACUGGAAACGGUAGCUAAUACCGCAUACCAUCGGAUUUGCCCAGAUGGGAUUAGCUUGUUGGUGGGGUAACGGCUCACCAAGGCGACGAUCCCUAGCUGGUCUGCGCGGAUGACCAGCCAAACUGGAACGGAAACACGGGCCAGACUCCUACGGGAGGCAGAAGUGGGGAAUAUUGCACAAUGGGCGCAAGCCUGAUGCAGCCAUGCCGCGUGUAUGAAGAAGGCCUUCGGGGUGUAAAGUACUUUCAGCGGGGAGGCGUUACCCGCAGAAGAAGCACCGACUAACUCCGGGCCAGCAGCCGCGGUAAUAC
This 406-nucleotide ribosomal RNA is filed under the name uncultured bacterium. RNAcentral's name for it is "partial 16S ribosomal RNA". It matches the Rfam family "Bacterial small subunit ribosomal RNA", at positions 30 to 526 of the family's 1533-position model. The record is from RNAcentral.